Molecule: ribosomal RNA, 320 nt
Filed under: uncultured eukaryote
Lineage: Eukaryota
Description: partial 18S ribosomal RNA
Rfam family: Eukaryotic small subunit ribosomal RNA
Source: RNAcentral
CCCCUAGAUGUUCUGGGCCGCACGCGCGCUACACUGAACAGUUCAACAAGUCUUAACCUUGGCCGAUAGGUCUGGGUAAUCUUUGAACGCUGUUUGUGAUUGGGAUAGACCUUUGCAAUUAUGGGUCUUCAACGAGGAAUUCCUAGUAAACGCAAGUCAUCAGCUUGCAUUGAUUACGUCCCUGCCCUUUGUACACACCGCCCGUCGCACCUACCGAUUGAAUGGUCCGGUGAAAUCUCGGGACGGCGGCUCGGUCGCUUGCGUCCGACUGCUGAAACUUGAUUAAACCAUAUCAUUUAGAGGAAGGUGAAGUCGUAACA